UUCUUAGACCUGUGCGACGGUUUUUUGAGAAAUCGGGUCAGGCGGGGAACCGAGCAGCCCAGCUUAUGACGCUGUGCGCCGCAGUCAUCUGAGAGGAG
Molecule: signal recognition particle RNA, 98 nt
Filed under: Helicobacteraceae bacterium
Lineage: Bacteria; Pseudomonadati; Campylobacterota; Epsilonproteobacteria; Campylobacterales; Helicobacteraceae
Description: signal recognition particle sRNA small type
Rfam family: Bacterial small signal recognition particle RNA
About the family: The signal recognition particle (SRP) is a universally conserved ribonucleoprotein involved in the co-translational targeting of proteins to membranes. Archaeal SRP consists of a 7S RNA and homologues of the eukaryotic SRP19 and SRP54 proteins. In most bacteria, the SRP consists of a 4.5S RNA and the Ffh protein (a homologue of the eukaryotic SRP54 protein).
Source: RNAcentral